GAUCCUGGCUCAGGAUGAACGCUAGCUACAGGCUUAACACAUGCAAGUCGAGGGGAAACGACAUUGAAAGCUUGCUUUUAAUGGGCGUCGACCGGCGCACGGGUGCGUAACGCGUAUCGAACCUGCCCUUUACUCAGGGAUAGCCUUGCGAAAGUAAGAUUAAUACCUGAUGGUGUUGCGAUGAGGCAUCUUUUUGCAACUAAAGAUUUAUUGGUAAAGGAUGGCGAUGCGUCUGAUUAGGUAG
Molecule: ribosomal RNA, 244 nt
Filed under: uncultured bacterium
Lineage: Bacteria
Description: partial 16S ribosomal RNA
Rfam family: Bacterial small subunit ribosomal RNA
Source: RNAcentral